This 478-nucleotide ribosomal RNA is filed under the name uncultured bacterium. RNAcentral's name for it is "bacterial SSU rRNA". It matches the Rfam family "Bacterial small subunit ribosomal RNA", at positions 32 to 521 of the family's 1533-position model. The record is from RNAcentral.
AAUCAACGCUGGCGGCGUGCCUCAGACAUGCAAGUCGAACGAUUAAAGCUCUCUUCGGAGAGUGCAUAGAGUGGCGCACGGGUGAGUAACGCGUAAGUAAUCUACCUUCGAGUGGGGAAUAACGUCCGGAAACGGACGCUAAUACCGCAUAAUGCAGCGGCAUCGUAAGAUGACAGUUGUUAAAGAUUUAUCGCUUGAAGAGGAGCUUGCGGCAGAUUAGCUAGUUGGUAAGGUAAUGGCUUACCAAGGCUACGAUCUGUAACCGGUCUUAGAGGACGGUCGGUCACACUGACACCGAAUAACGGGUCAGACUCCUACGGGAGGCAGCAGUCGGGAAUUUUGGGCAAUGGGCGAAAGCCUGACCCAGCAACGCCGCGUGAAGGAUGAAGUAUUUCGGUAUGUAAACUUCGAAGAAUAGGAAGAAUAAAUGACGGUACUAUUUAUAAGGUCCGGCUAACUACGUGCCAGCAGCCGCGGU